Molecule: long non-coding RNA, 791 nt
Filed under: Nicotiana benthamiana
Lineage: Eukaryota; Viridiplantae; Streptophyta; Magnoliopsida; Solanales; Solanaceae
Description: long non-coding RNA (NBEN_LNC009465)
Source: RNAcentral
CGUGCAACAAUUUACAUAAUAACUCAUACAAAGCGUAAGGAUGGUAGACCAUUAGAUGAGGAGUCUUGAAAUAAACUUGUAAGAUUUCUUACAAAAGAUACAAUAUUUAAGAUGGAUACGUAGACGAUAACCUUAUACAUGGAUUCAAGCUAGCUUAGCUAAUCUUAUACAUGGAUUUAAAUGGUCAUUGCCUGAUAAUAUGACUCCUGGGGACCUCAACAUGGAUGAAAAAGAUACAAGAUUUAAAAUGGAUAAGCAGACGAUACCAUUACAAAAGAUUUAGAGCACGAGAUCAAACAAAACACGAAGUUUAUCUUGGUGGAACCAUAGAAGUGCUGAAUCAAACAGAGUAAAGUUUUGGUGAAUGUCUUGGCUCUAUCACAACAACAAAUGGAAACUUUUUAGGUGUGGGGAGCCCAAAAAUCUCAUCCAUGUUGAGGUCCCAGGAAGUCAUAUUACCAAGCAAUGACAAUUUAAAUCCAUGUAUAAGAUUAUCUAAUCUAACAAAUGCUAUUGUUGUGUAUUUUAGGAACUAGGAUACGGACCUCAACAUGGAUAAAAAAGAUACAAGAUUUAAGAUGGAUAAGUAGACGAUACCAUUACAAAAGAUUUAGAGCACGAGUUCAAAAAGAACAAGAAGUCUAUCUUGAUGGAAUCACAUAAGUGGUAAAUCAAACAGGGUAACAUUUUGGUGAAUGUCUUGGCUCAAUCACAGCAGCAAGUGAAAACUUUUUAGUUGUGGAGAGCCCAAAAAUCUCAUCAAUGUUGAGGUCCUCGGGGUUUAUAUUAUC